RNAcentral lists this ribosomal RNA (460 nucleotides) under uncultured bacterium. RNAcentral describes it as "bacterial SSU rRNA". It matches the Rfam family "Bacterial small subunit ribosomal RNA", at positions 338 to 795 of the family's 1533-position model. The record is from RNAcentral.
CCUACGGGUGGCAGCAGUAGGGAAUAUUGGGCAAUGGAGGCAACUCUGACCCAGCCAUGCCGCGUGAAGGAAGACGGUCCUAUGGAUUGUAAACUUCUUUUAUCAUAGAGUAACCUAGGGGACGUGUCCCCUACUGCAAGUAUAUGAUGAAUAAGUAUCGGCUAACUCCGUGCCAGCAGCCGCGGUAAUACGGAGGAUACAAGCGUUAUCCGGAUUUAUUGGGUUUAAAGGGUGCGCAGGCGGAUCGGUAAGUCAGGGGUGAAAAGCUGCUGCUUAACAGCAGUCGUGCCUUUGAUACUGCCGGACUAGAGUGUAAUUGACGUGGUUGGAAUGUGAUGUGUAGCGGUGAAAUGCUUAGAUAUGUCACAGAACGCCGAUCGUGAAGACAGAUCACGAAAUUACUACUGACGCUCAUGCACGAAAGCGUGGGGAUCAAACAGGAUUAGAUACCCGAGUAGUC